UCUCCAGACUCCUACGGGAGGCAGCAGUAGGGAAUUUUGCGCAAUGGGGGAAACCCUGACGCAGCAACGCCGCGUGAUUGAUGAAGCCCUUCGGGGUGUAAAGAUCUGUCAGUGGGGACGAAACUUGACGGUACCCACAGAGGAAGCAUCGGCUAACUCCGUGCCAGCAGCCGCGGUAAUACGUAGGGGGCAAGCGUUAUCCGGAUUUACUGGGUGUAAAGGGGGCGCAGACGGCAAUGCAAGCCAGGAGUGAAAGCCCGGGGCCCAACCCCGGGACUGCUCUUGGAACUGCAUGGCUGGAGUACAGGAGGGGCAGGCGGAAUUCCUAGUGUAGCGGUGAAAUGCGUAGAUAUUAGGAGGAACACCAGUGGCGAAGGCGGCUUACUGGACUGUAACUGACGUUGAGGCUCGAAAGCGUGGGGAGCAAACAGGAUUAGAUACCCGGGUAUU
This 450-nucleotide ribosomal RNA is filed under the name uncultured bacterium. Its description in RNAcentral is "bacterial SSU rRNA". It matches the Rfam family "Bacterial small subunit ribosomal RNA", at positions 328 to 794 of the family's 1533-position model. The record is from RNAcentral.